This 4305-nucleotide long non-coding RNA is filed under the name Carassius auratus (goldfish). RNAcentral's name for it is "lncRNA (ENSCARG00000012388.1)". Lineage: Eukaryota; Metazoa; Chordata; Actinopteri; Cypriniformes; Cyprinidae. The record is from RNAcentral.
AUGACCUCUGUGUUACUUCAACCUCUUAGGAACAAAAGUGACGUGAUCCUUUUAUUAAACAAAGGAGCGAUGGAAAUCAAGCAAGCAAUCGAUGUCUUUAAACUCUCCUGUGACUCAGCUGGAGACAACAGCCUGUGCAACGAGCAUCUUUGCAAUGUUUUUGUAAGGAGAAUAGCAGGAGGGAGGGGGAGUGCGAAGGAAAGAGCGAGUGAAAAACUGAAAGAGAGAUAUCGAGACCUGGCUCAUGGUUUGCCAUGCUGAGCAGGUCCACCACCUUGAGCAUCAAACCAGUGACUGUCCAAGAUGUGGGCACUUCAGAAAUGAAAAGUGGGUGUCUUGCCUCAGUUAGAGAUCAAUCAUACACAACAAACAUGGAUUAACAUUUGACUGUGUAAUCUACAUGAAAAUGCUGCCAAUCGAUCACUUGAAAUGUUUAUUGAUGUUCCUUUCAGCAUGAGACUGCGGCCAGGCUAAACAAGUCAGUGCAUUAAUCAUCUGAAGUGAAGAGAAGAAAAACAUUACACCACGAGAAAUACUGCAAAGUGCCUUCGGUUUUGCAAAGGCCAUCAGAUUGCAUUCAGCUAAUCAGGUACAGCAAUAUUGGUUAAUAAGCUAAAAGAAGACAUCUAAAAUAGUCUAUAGCAGUUAUUUCUUUCAUGUCUUGGCUGUAUGACUUCCUUUUUCUGUAGAACACAAAAGAAUAUACAUUGAAGAAUAAGAAUAUGUUUUUCAUCUACAUUCUUAAAAAUAAGGAUUCCCCAAAAGUUUUUGUUUGUUUUUCUUAGCAUUGAUGGUUACCCGAAGAACCUUUAACAUUCAUGGAAACUUUCAAUUGCAUAGUUAGAAAAAGGUUCUUUAGAUCAUUAAAAAUGUUAAUCACAUUAAGAAAAAAAAAAAAAAAAAAAAGUUUUUAUUUUUUACAAGAACUGUUUAAUGAAAGGUUCCAAAAAUGGUUCUUCUAUAGCAUUGCCAUGAAAACCCCUAUGGCACCUUUAUUUUUUAGAGUUUAAAGAAACCUUUUCACUAUAAAGGCAAGGUUCUAUAGUUGUUAAAGGUUUUUAUUUAUCUCUUACUGACUUUGAUUCUUCAAACAUCAUCUUUUUUUGUUCUGCAGGAAAUAAGAAGUCAUACAGGUUUGGAAUGACAUGAGGGUGAGUAAAUGUUGACAGAAUUUACAUUUCUGUGUCAACUAACCCUAAACUUUGUCUGUUUCUCACAGAAAGAAGUUAGACGUCUUAUACAAAGCGUGAGUCGGGAUCUGUAUCUGGGGCUCUAGUUGUCCUGGUCUCCGCUGUCUUUCAGGGAAGUAGAGGUCCUUUCUAGGUGCUGAUCCACCAUCUGGUCUGGAUACGUAGUGGAUCCGGGUGACUGCAGUGACCCUCUGAUCUGGACACAGACUGGAUCUGGUGGCCACGGUGACCUCGGAACAAGAGAGAAACAGACAAAUAUUAGCGUAGAUGCCAUUCUUCUAAUGAUGUAGAAAGUACAUAGGGUGUUAUGGGAAGUGUUCCCGGUUCCGGUUUACCUAAUUAAUGCAGCCUAAAAAUCCUUUAAUGGAUUUGGAUAUUAAAAGCAUAUUAGUAUGUUAUGUGUAUGCCAGGUUAAAGAGAUGGGUCUUUAAUCUAGAUUUAAACUGCAAGAGUGUGUCUGCCUCCCGAACAAUGUUAGGUAGGUUAUUCCAGAGUUUAGGCGCCAAAUAGGAAAAGGAUCUGCCGCCUGGAGUUGAUUUUGAUAUGCUAGGUAUUAUCAAAUUGCCUGAGUUUUGAGAAUGCAGCGGACGUGGAGGAUUAUAAUGUAACAGGAGCUCAUUCAAAUACUGAGGUGCAAAACCCUUCAGUGCAUCAUAAGUUAUAAGCAAAAUUUUAAAAUAUAUUGUCUAUUUUUACCAGUUCCAGUUACCACAUUUAAUAAUUGUUGACAAUUAAGCAGUAAAUUCUUCAAAACAUAGAGGAAAGUCAGUUACGGAGGAUUGAAAUGAGAUAAGGACGAGUAAAUAAUUUUCAUUUGAAGUGAACCCAUCAGUUAGUGUUGUAAACCAGCCUGGAGAAACACAACCGUUCUUGGCUGCUAAUUACAUACAAAUGACUUGUGAUGGGACCAGAACGAUGGGUGGUCAAAGUUCAAUGGCUUUGGUUCAAGUUUAAUGGCGAUCAAAUCACCAGGGUUCCUUCUCCGAGGGCCCGCGACCGGCUAAUGGCCAUGACCGAGAGUGUGAGGGUCGCAUCUGGAUCAUUUCCAUGACAAUCAGGGUGGCGCUGAAGUAGGCGGGGCAAACGAGGAUGCUCUCUGAGAUAUAGUAGUUGGAUGUGAGGUAUGGCAUCUGUCUACCCUCGUUGAGAUUCUUGAUCUCUUUGACCAGUCAGUGUUGUAUUAUUAAAAUCGCCCUCCGGUCAUAGGAUUAGGGAGGGGUAGGAGCCAGUCAAAAUGAUAGCCCGAAAUGCACUACUGCAGAGGGUGGCAUUGAACAGCUCAGCACGCCGACAGCACAGGGGGGCUGGAAAUGCAGCAAUUAGUCCUGUCUGUCUCUCCGUGCACUAUAAUCAAAAGCUCUGGGGAUGCCAAACAUGCUGAGGCGAUCACAUGAUUCAGGUCUCGCCUCAUUAUGCAUCUUCACAGGUUAGAUCUGGGCUUUGAGAACAAUGGAAUGUAUACUUGAAGUUAACAGAGAAUCAAAAGAAUCAAACUCAGUCAAAUUCUGAUAUGGUUUGCAUGAUCUUCCUUAUAUAUGAUAUUAUAUUAUGGUUUUUGGGCACCUAGUAUCAUCACUUGACGUUGCUUUCCAGGAGAAACAAAUGAGACAGCUGAUACUUGACGGUAUAGUUCAUCCAAAAAUGAAAAUUCUGUCAUUUACUCACCCUCAAGUUGUUCUAAAACUAUGAAAUUCUUUAGAUAUUUUGAAGAAUGUUGGUAACCAAACAUUUGCUGGUAGCCACUCACUUCCGAGUUAUGGGAAAAACAAAACAAACAAAAAAACAACAGCAAUAAAGUAAAUGGCUACCGUUCCAUUACCCAUGUGCACAUUCUUCAAAAUAUUUUGUGUUCAGCAGAAGAAAGAAAUUUAAAAAGGUUUGGAGCAACUUAUGUGUGAGUAAAUUAUGAGAAUGUUUCUUUUUUGGAUGAACUUUCCCUUUAAUAAUCUCCAUUACUUCUACAGAGCUACAGUGUGAAAGCAAAACCUUUGAGCUUCUGCAAAAAAUAAAAAAUAAAUUAAAAAAAGGGAAGCUUUUCUUAAUCAGUGUUUUUGUCUUAAAUUCCAGUAAAUCCCCCCUUGAAACAAGAAAAUUAAAUUGAGCAGCAAGCCUGUGUUAACAAGACUUGUUUUCAGAGGAUUUAAUUAUUUCUUUUUCAUGCACAAACUUUUUAGAUUUAUGCUUAGAAGAAAAAAACAAAAACUGUCAAUGGGGUAAGAAAAGUAAACUUAAUUCAAGUUUUAUUCUCAGAAAACAAGUCUUAAUGUCUUAUUCAAUUGUAAAACAUUUAGCCAUUGUAACUGGAAAACAAAACAAAAUGACUGAUUAUGAAAAUGAUCUUUUGCAGUGCAAUAAAUAUUAUGCCAAAACAAUGCUUUAAACAAGAAAAAAUAAUGGGGUAAGAAAAAUAAACUAUUUAACUAUUAAAAACAUGCCUUGUUAAUUCAAUUCUAAAAGGAUGUUUUAACUGGAAAAAAUACAGAUUAAGAAAAUGAUUUUUUUGCUUUGCAAUACAGUUUUUUUCCUUUGGGAAAAACAAAGUCCAAGGGCUGACUGUAGGAACGCUCUGUCUCAUCAUCUCCGGUCACACAUCACCGAGUUUGCUCCUCAAAGGUAGCGCCAAAGGAGAACAGCAGGGAGGAAGGUUUAUCGAAAGCAAAAUGGUGAUGCAUGUGUUGUUAUUGCCUCCAGGCCCUGCUGAUGCUUUCUUUGAAGAACCUAAUAAUGUGAGUUCUUGUUUGGUCAUGCAGCAGCUGUGUUGGAGUUGGCAGGUGGUUAAACGAGUGACCAGGAGACUGGAUGGUUGGCUGCAGUGUCUCGGCGUCUCUCUCCCCCUGAGUCCAGGUCUAUGGCUGGAACACUGUGACCUAUAGCUGCUCUUGGCAGGGCCGUGGGGUUACCAGAAGGGCAGAACCGCUCUCUGGAUCUGGCAUCUGUGAGUUAUUCACCCUCAUACUGAUUGGUGUUACAGUCUUUUGGCCAUGUCCUUCUGAUUUAGCAUUCCCACACAAACAAUCACACACAUUAUAAAGGUCCUUUCAAGCUAUUUAUUUUCCCAAGAUUGUAAAUAAUGUAAAUAAUCUCUUUUUAAACAGUAAAACUAUAUAAAACCCAC